Molecule: ribosomal RNA, 334 nt
Filed under: uncultured Bacillota bacterium
Lineage: Bacteria; Bacillati; Bacillota
Description: bacterial SSU rRNA
Rfam family: Bacterial small subunit ribosomal RNA
Source: RNAcentral
GAUGAACGCUGGCGGCGUGCUUAACACAUGCAAGUCGAACGAAGCAUCUUGUAACUUUCGGGUUAUAAGAUGACUUAGUGGCGGACGGGUGAGUAACGCGUGGGUAACCUGCCUUAUACAGGGGGAGUAACAGCUGGAAACGGCUGCUAACACCGCAUAAGCGCACAGUGUCACAUGACACAGUGUGAAAAUAUUAAUAGGUAUAAGAUGGACCCGCGUCUGAUUAGCUAGUUGGUGAGGUAAUGGCCCACCAAGGCGACGAUCAGUAGCCGGCUUGAGAGAGUGAACGGCCACAUUGGGACUGAGACACGGCCCAAACUCCUACGGGAGGCUG